This 69-nucleotide transfer RNA is filed under the name Ictidomys tridecemlineatus (thirteen-lined ground squirrel). RNAcentral's name for it is "Spermophilus tridecemlineatus (thirteen-lined ground squirrel) tRNA". It matches the Rfam family "tRNA". From Rfam's summary of the family: Transfer RNA (tRNA) molecules are approximately 80 nucleotides in length. Their secondary structure includes four short double-helical elements and three loops (D, anti-codon, and T loops). The record is from Rfam by way of RNAcentral. Lineage: Eukaryota; Metazoa; Chordata; Mammalia; Rodentia; Sciuridae.
GGGGUUGUGGCUCAGCGGUAGAGCACUCGCUUAGCAUGUGUGAGGCCCUGGGUUCGAUCCUCAGCACCA